CAUGAAUAGCAGGAAUAUGUAUCAGCAGGCCUGAUGAAUCCAAACCAAACACUGCUACUCCAAGUGCAUCCUUUACUGCAGUGCUAGCACCUGGCCAGAAUGAGCUUGGGAAUUCUGGGUCUUCAGCUCUGGCAGGCAAACUUGUUUAUGUAGCUGUAAUAAUAGUGUUCUCCAGGUAAGGCAUUUCUGAGAGUUGCUCACUUUGAGAUGUGUAUCUGCAAGCAAAGAUUAAACUGUUAAAAACAAGCCUGCUGCUGCUGGAUCAGACACUGCAAUUACAGUAAUGUGGAAAUUACUUUCCUCUCCAUGCAGCAAGUGAAUGUGCAACUAAAACCUUGAUAACUGGUGCAGCUGUUUGGGAUGCCAUGGCUGAUCUCAGCUUUUUGCAGCAGCUAAAGCAAGUGCACAUGGUGACAAAUAACUUGAGGUGAGAAGGCAAUGCUAAUCUUCUCACACAAGUGGAAGAAAAAGUGUCAGCCAUUUACUAACCAACCAGCGGCCUGAGGACUGCACCUUUGGUUGAGGGCACUGCAGAAUGUAAGUUCCCAUGGUCAUCAGUGACCCUGAGAGCAGACAGCUACCAUAUAUUUCAGUUGUGCUAAUUUUUCAGGGACAUCUGUUUUUUUCUUUCUGGGCUUCAUCCUUUCCUGUGUACUGUUACUUAGCAUAUCAAUUGCUGACUAAUGGUCAGAGAGCAGUAUUCUUAAGUCUCAUUUCCCUAACUGACCUCUUUCUCUUCUAGGUUUAAAUAACUACAACUUCAAUCUUGUAGUGCCUGGAAAGCAUGCACAUGCAUGACCCUUAUAGACAAAUUCAUCCCUUUGUGAAACCCUUUGAGUUCAGAGGUUAAAUCAGGGAUUUAUUUGGCCUGUAAAUCUGCACAGAAAAAUGCUGUCAUUGAUCAUCCUGGUCAAAAGUCCAUUUUAAAUGUAAUGAAUCUCAAUUUUCCUUCUCCGUUCGCUUUUUUGGCAGUAUUCUACCACAGCCAUAACAAUGGAUUGCCUCAUGCAUUUCUCAUAAGAUGCUAAUUUGGAUUUAACUGAAUCUAACCUAUUUUGUAGAAGCUUGUUGUACAGUUGUUGAUAGUGUGCUGAAACACGAGGAGAAAAUGAUCAGCUAGCAUACAUUCUAUGAUCAGCCAAGAAUACUUAUUAACUCUAUCAGAUAAGCUGUGGAGCAUCUGUUUCUCAGGAGGGUCCCACCAGGCAUGUCUCACACUGAACAGGGAAUAACUCUUGAAUUAGGAGAAUCUCCUGCACACACAGAAUGAUUCUGAGCUUGCUUUAUAGUAAGAAUAGUUCAGAUGAUUUUAAACUGCUCUUGCCUUUUGGAACUUCCUAGAAACUAUGAAGUAUUCAUUAUUAGACCCAGUUCUAAGACAAUAAUACUGCAAGAAAAUGAAUCCAGAUGAUGUAAUAACUUGCUUCAAAUGUGAGUCUAACAUGCAGGUUUGUUUUGCUGAAGGCAUAGAAGAGAGUUUUACGGUGGCAAUCUUUGGUUCCACCUAAAGAUACAACCAUGCUGUAAACCAUGAAUUACAGAAGGUGGAGCUGCAGAGGUUCCCAUAGUCAGCAGCCAGCCUGAACACUGAAGUGAGGAGUAGGUAGAUAACACCUGCCCCUGCGUUGUUCAUUGACUUCAAAGGCUGAGUUGAGCUACAGUCCCUGUUACAGCUUUAACCCACUGGAGAUCACUGACUGUGGAUUUCAGACAGGUAUUUAUUUAGAUUGCACCCAUGGUUGAGUGAAAAAAGGAAACCACUUGGUCUGCAUUUCCUCUAACCUGCCCAGUGUUUAUUUUCAGUAUUCAUACUACUUUGACAAUUUUUCUUUGCAUGUUAGUUACUGUAGGUAGCUGACAAAUUACCCCCACAAUUCACACAGCCUGAUGUUUCCUCUGCAUGUCGCUGAGAUGGGAGCACUAUGUAAAAAGUAAACUGUUAGCUGGGAAAGUCUGAGAGUCUUGAUGCAUGUCGAUGGGGAGAGGAGAAUGUAAAAAGCUUAAGCUCUUGAUAAGAAGCAUGUUGGAGUGCAUAAUAUGUUAGAGAGACAUGGUACAUGUCAGAAACACCUGGAUCUGAGGCAAGUCAAAACUCAGUGAAUCUGUUACUUAUUAUUGUCUCGAUGAUUGCAGAGGAAAAGGAACAGCCCAAACAGUUGUGCCUUUUUCCCGUAUCUCAUAAAGUGUGCAAACACCAGAACUAGAAGAAGCAACUCCUAUUUUCAACACUAUUGCUUCAGUGGGAGUGCUAAUAACAUGUUAUGAACUACAAGCGAAAGCAGAAGCGAAUUCCAUCUGAUUUCAUAUGGAGGAUGCAGCUCUAGUAAAACUGCUUGCCCAAAAGAAUAAAUGGACUUUGUAAAAAUAUGACUGCUUCAUAGAACUGCCCUUGGCAGCUGCACAGAAGCAAAUAAGGUGAGAUAGAGCAGUAGGUCCAGGAAUAAAUCUGCACCUUGUGAGGCAAGGUUCAACAGCAGCCUAGUGAAGCCCUUGCAGCUUAAGGACCCCAAAGCCUGCUGCUUCCUGCUCUGCAGGCAAGGAGUUGGGCAUGGCUUUUGCGGGAGACCUGUUUCCUGUUGUGUAUUCACAAGCCACCAAACAAAAACUUGUGUUUGGGAGCUUUGCUUGCACUGCUGCAAACCGAUGUGUGCCAGAGUUCACAGCAGAGAAAAUAUCUUUCUUUGGGUCAGAGCCGCCACUUUAACAGAACUACUAAAUGUUUCUGUGCUGCAGAGGACAUUGCUGAAGAAGGGACCUUUAGAAACUGUGGGAUGUGAGAAAUCCAUUACUUUUCUGGGAAGAAGUGCAAUCCUGUCAAGGGGAGCAUAGUAGGAGUUUGGUAAACAGCUUUACAGAAAAGCCAUCGAACCGGAAUGAAUGAGAGUCCUAAAUCUGAAUCAGACCAGCUCAACCGGAAGGGUAAGGGGAUGGACAAAGAUGGAGGAGUGAAAAGAGAUGAUCUUCCCCUCCCAGUUCAGAAAGAAAAAGAUCUGGUGAGAUUUUUCAGCUGCUCUCAAGUAACUUUCUGCUCUUUGGUUCGCUGUUACUGUUCUCCUGAUUUCCAGACCUACUCUUCUUACAAUAACUUAGAUCUGUCAAUAGUAAUGGAGAAACAAUGAUCUUUUAUGGUCUGCAUUGCAAGCCCUUUUGUUUCACAUUGUGUAACAUAAAGUUCUGACUUUCCUGGGCUCGAUUUUUGUUUUAGUGCACAAUCCACAUCAAUGUCCAAAUUGUAACUAGGUAGGAAUGGUUCUUUAAUGCCUCCAAAUCACCACCAGAGUUAGUAUGAGUCAGUGUGAUGGGCAGUCUGCUUAGCUCUGAGUGCUAUGACACCUUAACUGCCAUCACUAUAAUCUAUUCCUCAUCUGGGAGAUAACACAAGCCCUGUGUAGGGUCAUCUGCUGCUUCCUCUCUUCCUUGUUUCAGGAAGAUCAGUGUUUUAAAUUUCUUUUUAAAGUGUUUUCUCUCUAUUCCAUGUUUCUCUGGGAUGGUUAUAGUUAAGGCUAAAUAUGGCUGUUGAUUUAUGAGAGCACACCAUUGAUUUAAACAUUUUUGCCAGUAAUAGACUCAACAAGUUACUACCUACUCUGUUCUCUGGCAUGAUUUUACAUGUGUUAUUCUUCCUUCUUGGCCAUAGCUUCUCUAGCUAAUUGCAUAAAAGGCCUUGUCAAGAAAAAUAAAACAUUGUUCUUUGGAGGAAAAAGCACAUUUAACUCUUUUCAAGGUAAGAAAGGAUGUGGGCUGUGUGCAGAAGAAAAAGCAUGAAUGCUGACUGUACAGUCUAGGCAGAGGGACAGCAGAGUGUUCUGUGCAGAAAAGGAACAGAACCAAAGGGCGAGGGGGACCCUCUAAAGAAAUAAAUGCCUCAUUGUGUUGUAA
Long non-coding RNA from Pogoniulus pusillus (Red-fronted tinkerbird), 3879 nucleotides. RefSeq lists it as uncharacterized. The record is from RefSeq and is a predicted model, not a curated record. NCBI's taxonomy places the organism in Eukaryota, Metazoa, Chordata, Aves, Piciformes, Lybiidae. The transcript has 4 exons.